AUCAACCAGGAGACGUGUUCAGUACUGAACACGAGCUCCGUCUCGCGUUCAACCGGCAAGGUGAGGAACUGAGGAUUGUCAAGCGACAACUCCAAAACAGUCAACAACGAGUGCGGGAACUCGAACAGCACGUAGCAACUCUGCAAACAAAUCGGCAACGAGAAUCCUCCUAGACGUCACGCAGCUCUCUUAAAGGCGAUCUCAGUAAACGAUCCCAACCGCCAUCUUUGAAUCGACAGCGAAAUGGACCAAUCAGAAUAAAGCUUACAAAUGACUUAUUUUGAUUGGUUUAUUUACCAUUGAUCACCGAGAUUGGGGGCGUUCUGAAAUCGAUCGUUAAAACGCUUCACUGAUAAGGCUUAUAUUAUGAUGUCUUGCUUGAACGUGUGCGAGGCCUUGUGUUUGUCUGUGUUUCACGAAGUUUUCAUACAAUUUUUUCGAUUUAAUGUGUUUUCGAAUACUUUCGACAAUGUUACGUUAUAUGAAUCAAGACUUGUAUUUUUAAUAUGGCUCAUAUGUGAAUCGAUUUAAUUAAGACUUUUAUUUAUUAAUAAUGUGAAUAUGGAACGUACAAUGUGUAAGGAGCAGACGGUAAGAAGUAUUCAGGGCAAAA
Molecule: long non-coding RNA, 613 nt
Organism: Manduca sexta (tobacco hornworm)
Lineage: Eukaryota; Metazoa; Arthropoda; Insecta; Lepidoptera; Sphingidae
Exons: 2
Source: RefSeq, a predicted model, not a curated record